UUAGAAAUAGAAUUUCAAAGAUU
This 23-nucleotide small nuclear RNA is filed under the name Arabidopsis thaliana (thale cress). RNAcentral describes it as "snRNA_01744". Lineage: Eukaryota; Viridiplantae; Streptophyta; Magnoliopsida; Brassicales; Brassicaceae. The record is from RNAcentral.